RNAcentral lists this ribosomal RNA (465 nucleotides) under uncultured Selenomonas sp. RNAcentral describes it as "bacterial SSU rRNA". It matches the Rfam family "Bacterial small subunit ribosomal RNA", at positions 338 to 795 of the family's 1533-position model. Lineage: Bacteria; Bacillati; Bacillota; Negativicutes; Selenomonadales; Selenomonadaceae. The record is from RNAcentral.
CCUACGGGCGGCAGCAGUGGGGAAUCUUCCGCAAUGGGCGCAAGCCUGACGGAGCAACGCCGCGUGAGUGAAGAAGGUCUUCGGAUCGUAAAGCUCUGUUGACGGGGACGAACGUGCGAGAGGUGAAUAAACUCUUGCAAUGACGGUACCGGUCGAGGAAGCCACGGCGAACUACGUGCCAGCAGCCGCGGUAAUACGUAGGUGGCGAGCGUUGUCCGGAAUAAUUGGGCGUAAAGGGAGCGCAGGCGGGCAUGUAAGUCUUUCUUAAAAGUUCGGGGCUCAACCCCGUGAUGGGAAAGAAACUAUGUGUCUUGAGUACAGGAGAGGAAAGCGGAAUUCCCAGUGUAGCGGUGAAAUGCGUAGAUAUUGGGAGGAACACCAGUGGCGAAGGCGGCUUUCUGGACUGCAACUGACGCUGAGGCUCGAAAGCCAGGGGAGCGAACGGGAUUAGAUACCCGUGUAGUC